AAUGAACCGGCGAGUUACGAUUUGAUGCAAGGUUAAGCAGUAAAUGUGGAGCCGUAGCGAAAGCGAGUCUGAAUAGGGCGUUUAGUAUUUGGUCGUAGACCCGAAACCAGGUGAUCUACCCUUGGUCAGGUUGAAGUUCAGGUAACACUGAAUGGAGGACCGAACCGACUUACGUUGAAAAGUGAGCGGAUGAACUGAGGGUAGCGGAGAAAUUCCAAUCGAACCUGGAGAUAGCUGGUUCUCUCCGAAAUAGCUUUAGGGCUAGCCUCAAGUGAUGAUUAUUGGAGGUAGAGCACUGUUUGGACGAGGGGCCCCUCUCGGGUUACCGAAUUCAGACAAACUCCGAAUGCCAAUUAAUUUAACUUGGGAGUCAGAACAUGGGUGAUAAGGUCCGUGUUCGAAAGGGAAACAGCCCAGACCACCAGCUAAGGUCCCAAAAUAUAUGUUAAGUGGAAAAGGAUGUGGCGUUGCCCAGACAACUAGGAUGUUGGCUUAGAAGCAGCCAUCAUUUAAAGAGUGCGUAAUAGCUCACUAGUCGAGUGACACUGCGCCGAAAAUGUACCGGGGCUAAACAUAUUACCGAAGCUGUGGAUUGUCCUUUGGACAAU
This 608-nucleotide ribosomal RNA is filed under the name Staphylococcus aureus. RNAcentral's name for it is "partial 23S ribosomal RNA". It matches the Rfam family "Bacterial large subunit ribosomal RNA", at positions 614 to 1226 of the family's 2925-position model. Lineage: Bacteria; Bacillati; Bacillota; Bacilli; Caryophanales; Staphylococcaceae. The record is from RNAcentral.